CCUACGGGAGGCAGCAGUGGGGAAUCUUGCGCAAUGGGCGAAAGCCUGACGCAGCCAUGCCGCGUGUAUGAUGAAGGUCUUAGGAUUGUAAAAUACUUUCACCGGGGACGAUAAUGACGGUACCCGGAGAAGAAGCCCCGGCUAACUUCGUGCCAGCAGCCGCGGUAAUACGAAGGGGGCUAGCGUUGCUCGGAAUUACUGGGCGUAAAGGGAGCGUAGGCGGAUAGUUUAGUCAGAGGUGAAAGCCCAGGGCUCAACCUUGGAACUGCCUUUGAUACUGGCUAUCUUGAGUAUGGGAGAGGUGAGUGGAACUCCGAGUGUAGAGGUGAAAUUCGUAGAUAUUCGGAAGAACACCAGUGGCGAAGGCGACUCACUGGCCCAUUACUGACGCUGAGGCUCGAAAGCGUGGGGAGCAAACAGGAUUAGAUACCCUGGUAGUCCACGCCGUAAACGAUGAGUGCUAGUUGUCGGCAUGCAUGCAUGUCGGUGACGCAGCUAACGCAUUAAGCACUCCGCCUGGGGAGUACGGUCGCAAGAUUAAAACUCAAAAGAGUAGUAGGACGNGAGAGACGCGACGACGACGACGACGGAGGAGGAGG
Molecule: ribosomal RNA, 599 nt
Filed under: uncultured bacterium
Lineage: Bacteria
Description: bacterial SSU rRNA
Rfam family: Bacterial small subunit ribosomal RNA
Source: RNAcentral